This 497-nucleotide ribosomal RNA is filed under the name uncultured bacterium. Its description in RNAcentral is "partial 16S ribosomal RNA". It matches the Rfam family "Bacterial small subunit ribosomal RNA", at positions 28 to 507 of the family's 1533-position model. The record is from RNAcentral.
GAUGAACGCUGGCGGCGUGCCUAAUACAUGCAAGUCGAGCGAACAGACGAGGAGCUUGCUCCUCUGACGUUAGAGGCGGACGGGUGAGUAACACGUGGAUAACCUACCUAUAAGACUGGGAUAACUUCGGGAAACCGGAGCUAAUACCGGAUAAUAUAUUGAACCGCAUGGUUCAAUAGUGAAAGACGGUUUUGCUGUCACUUAUAGAUGGAUCCGCGCCGCAUUAGCUAGUUGGUAAGGUAACAGCUUACCAAGGCAACGAUGCGUAGCCGACCUGAGAGGGUGAUCGGCCACACUGGAACUGAGACACGGUCCAGACUCCUACGGGAGGCAGCAGUAGGGAAUCUUCCGCAAUGGGCGAAAGCCUGACGGAGCAACGCCGCGUGAGUGAUGAAGGUCUUCGGAUCGUAAAACUCUGUUAUUAGGGAAGAACAAAUGUGUAAGUAACUAUGCACGUCUUGACGGUACCUAAUCAGAAAGCCACGGCUAACUACGUG